Gymnogyps californianus (California condor) is the source of this 1191-nucleotide long non-coding RNA. RefSeq lists it as uncharacterized. The record is from RefSeq and is a predicted model, not a curated record. NCBI's taxonomy places the organism in Eukaryota, Metazoa, Chordata, Aves, Accipitriformes, Cathartidae. The transcript has 9 exons.
CAGUUGGUGGCAGGUUUUGAGUUGUCUAAGCUGUUUGGGUAGAUGUGUGUUGGCAUUUAGAGAAGUAGAGGUGUCUGGGUCUUUUUGCUGUAUACUGUGUUAGUUGCUGAUAUCAUCUCUCUUAACAGGGCUGAUGGUGAGAUUAUCUAGCAGUGGUUAGGUUUCCCCGCAGCUGAUGGGAGGUACGACAAGGUCACAGGAGAUGCGGCGUAAACCAUCCAGGCCUCUGCAUCUCAAUAUGCAGGGCUGAAUGUCAGAUGAGUCUCGUCUUGUAAAACCUUAGUGCAGGUUUGCGUCAUUGUCUUCCCUGGAAUGUUUUGGAGAAGAGGAUGUGUAUUAUUUGUGCUCGUAACAGUCAUCUGAGCCAGGGGUCAUCUUUUAUCACAGUCCCGGGCACGCAAGCUUUUUCUGUUAUUCCAGUUUUGCCUUUUUCCUGAAGUGUCCACUGAGGUUUGCUCUAGCAUCAGUCACGGCAGUUAUGUUCUCUUGUUCUUGCUUACCUAUUGUUUUUAGCACCAGUUUCUGUAGUCGUAAGGUGUCCCUUUUAGAUCUUUGAGUCACCAUGUCACGCCAUUGGGGUUUUUUCCAUCGGCUGACCGCCACUGUAAUUCCCUUAGGGGCUUUGUAGAUGCAGCGGGACGAGCUGUGUGCCAAAGGGCAACAGAGGAGAGGCGAGCGGAGCACUGUAAGAAGGUGAUAGCCGAGCCUCGACGUGGCAACCUGUAAACAGCAGAGGCGGUGCGGGCGAGCGGCCAAGAUGCUGCAAGAGGCUCAGAGGGGCGAAGCCGCAUGCUGAGGAGCGGUCCGAGAAGGCGCCAUGCAGGCAGCCUUUGGAAUUGGAUGAGCAUUUGAGGUGCCACAAGGGAUGACGGCCACAGCGUCCGACACUGGAAUUCCUGCGGAGCAGAUGAUGAAGAGGAACCUGGCAACUGCAGGAAUAUCCCGGUUCACUGAUGUGUUUUUUGCUGAGGAUGGAUUCAGACCCCUGCUGUCUGACAGCUAAGUUGAGGGACUGGGGACCACUGCCCUACAGUGUGUAAUUUUGACUUCAGUUGGAAAGAAAUUGUCCAAAGCGGAAAUCUUUCUCGUUCAAAGAAGUUGCAUUUUAUUGAACUUCCCAUCAGAGUGGCUCUUCGGAGGUGAUGUACUUGGCAGUAGAAGUCACCAGCAGCAAGACUUUUCACUCUCUUU